CCCACCAUGCAUUGUCCCCGAUCCAGAUAAUGGACCUAGGUUAGAAUCCCAACCAUACCAGGGUGGUAUUUCAAGGAUGGCUCCACUCGAACUAGCGUCCAAGUUUCAAAGCCUCCCACCUAUCCUACACAGGUAGAAUCAGAGUUCAAUGCAAAGCUGUAGUAAAGGUGCACGGGGUCUUUCCGUCUGGCCGCGGGUAUACUGCAUCUUAACAGCAAUUUCAAUUUCACUGAGUCUCGGGUGGAGACAGCGUGGCCCUCGUUACGCCAUUCGUGCAGGUCGGAACUUACCCGACAAGGAAUUUCGCUACCUUAGGACCGUUAUAGUUACGGCCGCCGUUUACUUGGGCUUCAAUCAAAAGCUUUGGACGAAUCCUAACCUCAUCAAUUAACCUUCAAGCACCGGGCAGGCGUCACACCCUAUACGUCCACUUACGUGUUUGCAGAGUGCUGUGUUUUUAAUAAACAGUCGGAGCCACCUGGUAUCUUCAACUCUUACCAGCUCAUUUAGCAAGUAAAAUCACCGGCAAGAGCACACCUUCUCCCGAAGUUACGGUGUCAUUUUGCCUAGUUCCUUCACCCGAGUUCUCUCAAGCGCCUUAGAAUUCUCAUCUCGUCCACCUGUGUCGGUUUGGGGUACGGUUUCAUAUAACCUGAAGCUUAGAGGAUUUUCCUGGAAGCAUGGUAUCACGCACUUUUCCCAAAAGAGGGUUCGUUAUCACGCCUUGAGCUUUAGAACUAAAUCUAAGAUUCCCGGAUUUUCCUAAGAACCUACUCUACACGCUUGAACUUGGACAACCAUCGCCAAGCUGCGUUAACCUUCUCCGUCUUCCCAUCGCAGUUAUAUGAAGUAUGGGGAUAUUAACCCAUUUCCCAUCGACUACGCAUUUCUGCCUCGCCUUAGGACCGACUAACCCUACGCCGAUUAACGUUGCGUAGGAAACCUUGGACUUCUGGCGAGGGGGUUUUUCACCCCCUUUAUCGUUACUCAUGUCAGCAUUCGCACUUCUGAUACCUUCAGCAAACCUCACAGCUCACCUUCAACGGCUUACAGAACGCUCUCCUACCAUCGCAAUAAAAUUGCGAUCCGUAGCUUCGGUAUGUAGUUUUAGCCCCGUUAAAUCUUCCGCGCAAACCGACUCGACCAGUGAGCUAUUACGCACUCUUUAAAGGAAUGGCUGCUUCUAAGCCAACCUUCUGGCUGUCUGGGCCUUUUCACAUCGUUUCCCACUUAACUACAAUUUUGGGACCUUAGCUGACGGUCUGGGUUGUUUCCCUUUCCACUACGGACGUUAGCACCCGCAGUGUGUCUCCCAUGCUCAUACUUGUCGGUAUUCGGAGUUUGCAAUGGUUUACUAAGCCUUGACGACCCGCUAGCCAUAACAGUGCUCUACCCCCGACAGUAAUACAUGAGGCUCUACCUAAAUAGAUUUCGGAGAGAACCAGCUAUCUCCGGGUUUGUUUGGCCUUUCACCCCUAUCCACAGCUCAUCCCCUCAUUUUUCAACAUAAGUGGGUUCGGGCCUCCAGUUAGUUUUACCUAACCUUCACCCUGGCCAUGGAUAAAUCACCCGGUUUCGGGUCUACUCCCAGCAACUAAACGCCCAUUUAAGACUCGGUUUCCCUACGGCUCCCCUAUUGGUUAACCUUGCUACUGAGAAGUAAGUCGCUGACCCAUUAUACAAAAGGUACGCAGUCACGGAAUAAAUCCGCUCCUACUGUUUGUAUGCAUACGAUUUCAGGUUCUAUUUCACUCCCCUCCCGGGGUUCUUUUCGCCUUUCCCUCACGGUACUUGUUCACUAUCGGUCAUUAAAGAGUAUUUAGCCUUGGA
This 1830-nucleotide ribosomal RNA is filed under the name Vesicomya sp. mt-III symbiont. Its description in RNAcentral is "partial 23S ribosomal RNA". The record is from RNAcentral. Lineage: Bacteria; Pseudomonadati; Pseudomonadota; Gammaproteobacteria.